ACACGUCGAGACGCGGGGGCAGAGGCGCUGCGUGGAGCGGAAGUGCCCGACUUUCCGCCCGCUGCGCGCGCGGGGCACACCGGGACUUGUAGUUCUUUGCGCGCCUAGCGGACCAGUUAAACUGAGAGAGUUGGUGUGUUGAGUUGGGGAACAGCAAAAGAGAAAAAAAAUACCACGGGCAAUAAUAGGAGAAAGAAGCAAUGAAGAAAGAAGGGGUUAAGCAGAUUGCAGCACUGUGUAUCAGCUCUCUGCCUUGUGAAGACAUGAUGAAAAGAUAGCCAUCUACAAGCCAAGAAGCAGCCUCUCACAGAUUCCAGAUCUGCUGGCAUCUUGAUCUGGGACAUCUCAGCUUCCAGAACUGAAAUUGUCCAACUUUUGUCUACUGGGAUCACUUUGAACACCUACCAUUCAUGAAACGUGUCUUGAAAGAUGGAGGAGAAUAAAGGCUGGACCCUGCCUUCAACGAAACUAUGAUAAGGUAGGGAACCUGACAUGCACUUACAUAGGUAGCUAUGAUACAAAGGCAAAUGUGGAAAAAAAAAAAAGAAGAAAGAGGGGUAGAACAAGCAAGAUUUAGGGAGAACUCAUAGGAGGUAGACUGGGCUUCUACUGGGUUGAUAAAGGAAGCCUUCAUGAAGUAGGUGGCUUUUGAGCUGUCCUAAUGGAUAAAUGGGAGGUUGCCAAUAUUUUUUUUUUUUCUUGCAUGGAAUUACUACAGGUCUUACAGAAAAAAA
Molecule: long non-coding RNA, 734 nt
Organism: Mirounga angustirostris (Northern elephant seal)
Lineage: Eukaryota; Metazoa; Chordata; Mammalia; Carnivora; Phocidae
Exons: 5
Source: RefSeq, a predicted model, not a curated record